Molecule: small nuclear RNA, 106 nt
Organism: Dipodomys spectabilis (banner-tailed kangaroo rat)
Lineage: Eukaryota; Metazoa; Chordata; Mammalia; Rodentia; Heteromyidae
Source: RefSeq, a predicted model, not a curated record
AUGCUCGCUUCGCAGCACAUAUACUAAACUUGGAACGAUACAGAGUAGAUUAGCAUGGCCCCUGCGCAAGGACGACAUGCAAAUUCCUGAAGCGUUCCAUAUCUUU